Long non-coding RNA from Etheostoma cragini (Arkansas darter), 511 nucleotides. RefSeq lists it as uncharacterized. The transcript has 3 exons. NCBI's taxonomy places the organism in Eukaryota, Metazoa, Chordata, Actinopteri, Perciformes, Percidae. The record is from RefSeq and is a predicted model, not a curated record.
AUACUUCUUAUACUUUUUACUGCCUGCAGUAUUUCUUGAAUAUCACUUUGAUUAGUACAAUUGAGAUAACAAGACCCAACACUAAUAGUUAUGUGGCAAUAAUUCCACAAUAACAGAAAUACAUAUAUAUUUUUUUAAUCCCAUUUUAUUCCUCAGGUCUGGUCACCACGUUCUUUUCUGUAAAUGUUUCUGUUGUUGCCUCGUGAGAGUGGUGACCUCCACAUUUUAACAUUAAUGGCCUUUAUGUCUGGUGCGAUUUAUGUAUUGUCCCUUUGGUUUAAUGUGAUUGUUUGUAUAUUAAUGAUUAUUUUCACUAUUACUAUGAGAUAAUCUUCCCAUGAGAGGCAAAUAUUUUACACCCUUUUUUUACUGUAUUUGUUCUAUUUGUAUUUAUUGUCAAUAAAAGUACAUUAAAACACUGAUGAUAUGCAUGUUAUAGAGUACAUCUGUACAGACUGACAUUCCUCAUCAUGUCACAUACAUACAUAGAUACAUACAUAAAUACAAUAUU